GCACAGAGAGAUAAGGAGCUCAUCAUAACUGAGAGAGGGGGGACCGUUAUUUCCAAGCAGCUGCUGCGAGCUGGUCUAGGUGAACAAACUGAGGCUGAAGAGGAUUUGAGGCCACACAGAGCAUGAAUGGUAGAGCAGGGAUUGGAACUAAAUCCUGCUGACUCCGGCUCACUGGGUUCUGGAUGCACUGGGGAGGCCAGUGAGUCUAUCUGCCCUGGGGGAGAGCUGUGAGCAGGGCAGAUGUGUGCUGGCCUGCUCAGACCUUCAGCAAUGUGGCACAGCCCUCAUAAUGGUCUGGAGAUGCAAAGUUUGAACUCACAUUUCCCAGAGGACUUUGGAUCGACGUCAAGGGACAUGGGACGAUAUGCCAAGAACCAACAACAGUGGAGAAGGAUUUCACAUUGUAAUAUGAAGUUCAUUUAUGAACAGGUAGCCUAGUUUUUGGAAACAGAUAUUUCUGAAGGAAGACAUUUUAGUAAAAACUGAAGAAGUGUGA
Long non-coding RNA from Neogale vison (American mink), 496 nucleotides. RefSeq lists it as uncharacterized. The record is from RefSeq and is a predicted model, not a curated record. Lineage: Eukaryota; Metazoa; Chordata; Mammalia; Carnivora; Mustelidae. The transcript has 3 exons.